RNAcentral lists this long non-coding RNA (294 nucleotides) under Lathyrus oleraceus (garden pea). Its description in RNAcentral is "Pisum sativum (pea) long non-coding RNA (PSAT_LNC024535)". The record is from RNAcentral. Lineage: Eukaryota; Viridiplantae; Streptophyta; Magnoliopsida; Fabales; Fabaceae.
UGAUUGAAACUCUUGUUUUCUCUCAAUUUUCCUCAAAAACGAAACUGAAUCGAAUAGAAUCGAUGAAGACCAAGAGAGAAACGAAUUCACGAUUACAAAGAGAAAUGUAAUCUCCGUGAGGCUCUUCUCUCUGAGUGUUUCUUGAACUUUUUGAAAACUGAAGCUUGAUUCGUUAUGGGUAGUUUGUUUUGGCGCGCUAUGUCUAACGGAUAGGUGGAGCAAUCACAUGCAUUCGGGUCUAUACAGGAAUACGUGCUCCCCAACACUUUGGGAUGGGAUGAAGGGUGAUGAUUG